This 191-nucleotide non-coding RNA is filed under the name Streptomyces sp. The record is from RNAcentral. RNAcentral also lists the same sequence under 1 other name. Lineage: Bacteria; Bacillati; Actinomycetota; Actinomycetes; Kitasatosporales; Streptomycetaceae.
GGUGUUCGUCUGCGAUGAUGGCGCUGCCAAAGGCGACGGCGGAACGAGGAAACCGGUGUGAAUCCGGUGCGGUCCCGCCACUGUGAUCGGUGAGCCGGCUCCGAACAGGCCACUGCCCCCGCGGGGGUGGGAAGGCCAGGGGCCGGCGGUGAACCGAGAGCCAGGAGACUCACGUCGUCGCCUCCUCGACG